This 425-nucleotide ribosomal RNA is filed under the name uncultured bacterium. RNAcentral describes it as "bacterial SSU rRNA". It matches the Rfam family "Bacterial small subunit ribosomal RNA", at positions 355 to 771 of the family's 1533-position model. The record is from RNAcentral.
UGGGGAAUCUUGCGCAAUGGCCGAAAGGCUGACGCAGCGACGCCGCGUGCGGGAUGACGCUUUUCGGAGUGUAAACCGCUGUCAGGUGGGACGAAGGUCCCGGGGAGGAAAUGCCCUGGGGAUGACGGUACCACCAGAGGAAGCACCGGCUAACUUCGUGCCAGCAGCCGCGGUAAUACGAAGGGUGCGAGCGUUGUUCGGAAUUAUUGGGCGUAAAGCGCACGUAGGCGGCCUUGUAAGUCUCACUGUGAAAGCCCGGGGCUCAACCCCGGGAGGCCAGGGGAUACUGCGAGGCUGGAGACAAGCAGAGGUUGGUAGAAUUCCGGGUGUAGCGGUGGAAUGCGUAGAGAUCCGGAGGAAUACCAGAGGCGAAGGCGGCCAACUGGGCUUGUUCUGACGCUGAGGUGCGAAAGCGUGGGGAGCGA